GGCUGAAUAGCUCAGUGGUAAGAGCAGUCGCCCGGCAAGCGAAAAACUCAGUUUCGAUCUCCGAUUCAGCGA
Non-coding RNA from Camponotus floridanus (Florida carpenter ant), 72 nucleotides. The record is from Rfam. Lineage: Eukaryota; Metazoa; Arthropoda; Insecta; Hymenoptera; Formicidae.